This 176-nucleotide ribosomal RNA is filed under the name uncultured bacterium. Its description in RNAcentral is "partial 16S ribosomal RNA". It matches the Rfam family "Bacterial small subunit ribosomal RNA", at positions 335 to 524 of the family's 1533-position model. The record is from RNAcentral.
ACUCCUACGGGAGGCAGCAGUGGGGAAUAUUGGACAAUGGACCAAAAGUCUGAUCCAGCAAUUCUGUGUGCACGAUGAAGGUCUUCGGAUUGUAAAGUGCUUUCAGUUGGGAAGAAGCAAGUGACGGUACCAACAGAAGAAGCGACGGCUAAAUACGUGCCAGCAGCCGCGGUAAU